Molecule: ribosomal RNA, 2302 nt
Filed under: soil metagenome
Description: bacterial LSU rRNA
Rfam family: Bacterial large subunit ribosomal RNA
Source: RNAcentral
UCAAGCUACUAAGGGCACGGGGUGGAUGCCUUGGCGCCAAGAGCCGAUGAAGGACGUGGCAGGCUGCGAAAAGCCUCGGGGAGAAGCGAGCAUUCGUUGAUCCGGGGAUGUCCGAAUGGGGAAACCCGGCUGGGGUCAUGCCCAGUCACCCCUGGUCGAACACAUAGACCAGGCGGAGGUAAGCCAGCGAACUGAAACAUCUCAGUAGCUGGAGGAAAAGAGAUCAUUCCCUGAGUAGUGGCGAGCGAAACGGGAAUAGCCCAAACUCGCUCAGCGUGAUAGACGGCAGUCGUUUCUGAGUGGGGGUUGUAGGAGUCGAUAUCGGAGCCCUGCCGGGCUCCGGCGGAGUCACAAAGCCAUUCGCUAGUCGAACCGGUCAGGAAAGGCCGGCCAUAGAAGGUGAUAGCCCUGUAGGCGAAAGUGACAUGGCCUCCGUGAUCGACCACCUGAGUACCACGUGGAAGGUCUCUCAUGUGGGAACCUGGGCGGACCACCGUCCAAGGCUAAAUACUCUUGGCGACCGAUAGUGAACCAGUACCGUGAGGGAAAGGUGAAAAGCACCCCGGAAGGGGAGUGAAAUAGUACCUGAAACCGUGUGCCUACAAGCGGUCGGAGCGGAGUAAUCCGUGACGGCGUGCCUUUUGCAUAAUGAGCCAGCGAGUUAGUCUUCCACGGCAAGGUUAAGGAAACGGAGCCGUAGCGAAAGCGAGUCUGAACAGGGCGAUUCAGUCGUGGGAGCUAGACCCGAAACUGAGUGAUCUACCCAUGGGCAGGUUGAAGCGGGGGUAAGACCCCGUGGAGGACCGAACCCACGUCGGUUGAAAACGGCGGGGAUGAGCUGUGGGUCGGAGUGAAAGGCUAAUCAAACUCGGAGAUAGCUGGUUCUCCCCGAAAUAUAUUUAGGUAUAGCGUCGCGAGUUCAGUUGUGGUUGUAGAGCACUGUUUGGCCUAGGGGGCCUACCAGCUUACCGAAGUCAGGCAAACUCCGAAUGCCACAACUCCAGAUCGCGGCAGUCAGAGUGCGGGGGAUAAGCUUCGUGCUCGAAAGGGAAACAGCCCAGACCGUCGGCUAAGGUCCCUAAUUUCAUGCUAAGUGGGAAACGAUGUCCGAUUGCAGAGACAACCAGGAUGUUGGCUUAGAAGCAGCCACCAUUCAAAGAGUGCGUAACAGCUCACUGGUCAAGUGGUCGGGCGCGGACAAUGUAACGGGGCUCAAGCAUGGAACCGAAGCCACGGACUUCACGCUUGCGUGGAGUGGUAGGGGAGCGUUCCCAGGGCGGUGAAGCGGCGGCGAUAAGCCUGCCGUGGAGCGCUGGGAAGUGAGAAUGCUGGCAUGAGUAACGAAAGAGGAGUGAGAAACUCCUCCGCCGAAUGCCCAAGGGUUCCUGAGUAAAGCUAAUCUGCUCAGGGUUAGUCGGGACCUAAGGCGAGGCCGACAGGCGUAGUCGAUGGACAACAGGUUGAUAUUCCUGUACCACGUCCCCACCGCUAUCACCAAUGGCGGGACGGGGUAGGCUACGGAAUCCCAGGCGAUGGUCGUCCUGGGGUAACCGCGUAGGGCGGGUGAUAGGGAAAUCCGUCACCCAGUAAGCCUGAGACGGGAUGCCGAGCCCAGAGAUGGGCGAAGUUCCUGAAGCCAUGCCUCCUAGAAAAGCGUCUAGGGAGGUGGGACGUGCCCGUACCAAAACCGACACAGGUAGGCAGGUAGAGAAUACCAAGGCGAUCGGAAGAACCCUCGAAAAGGAACUCGGCAAAAUGGCCCCGUAACUUCGGGAGAAGGGGCGCCACGGUAGGGUGAAAAUCCCUCGCGGAUUUAGCCCGAGGUGGCCGCAGUGAAACGGCCCAACCGACUGUUUACCAAAAACACAGGUCUCUGCGAAGUCGAAAGACGACGUAUAGGGGCUGACGCCUGCCCGGUGCCGGAAGGUCAAGCGGAGAGGUUAGCCUUCGGGCGAAGCCUUGAAGCCAAGCCCCGGUAAACGGCGGCGGUAACUAUAACCGUCCUAAGGUAGCGAAAUUCCUUGUCAGGUAAGUUCUGACCCGCACGAAUGGCGUAAUGAUAUGGGUACUGUCUCGACGAAGAGCUCGGUGAAAGUGCAUUGACGGUAAAGAUGCCGUCUGUCCGCAGCAGGACGAAAAGACCCCGUGGAGCUUUACUACAGCUUGACAUUGGACCGGGGGUAUACAUGUGUAGCAUAGGUGGGAGACUUUGAAGCUUAGGCGCUAGCCUAGGUGGAGUCACCGGUGAAAUACCACCCUUGUAUGCCUCUUGUUCUUACCGGGACCACUAAAAGUACAUGAG